UACAGAGGAUGCAAGCGUUAUCCGGAAUUAUUGGGCGUAAAGCGUCUGUAGGCGGCUUUUUAAGUCCGCUGUCAAAUCCCAGGGCUCAACUCUGGACAGGCGGUGGAAACUACCAAGCUGGAGUACGGUAGGGGCAGAGGGAAUUUCCGGUGGAGCGGUGAAAUGCGUAGAGAUCGGAAAGAACACCAACGGCGAAAGCACGCUGCUGGGCCGACACUGACGCUGAGAGACGAAAGCGAGGGGAGCGAAUAGG
This 253-nucleotide ribosomal RNA is filed under the name uncultured bacterium. RNAcentral describes it as "partial 16S ribosomal RNA". It matches the Rfam family "Bacterial small subunit ribosomal RNA", at positions 524 to 776 of the family's 1533-position model. The record is from RNAcentral.